RNAcentral lists this long non-coding RNA (9481 nucleotides) under Homo sapiens (human). RNAcentral's name for it is "HSALNT0345128". Lineage: Eukaryota; Metazoa; Chordata; Mammalia; Primates; Hominidae. The record is from RNAcentral.
GGCUGAGCACCGUGGGUCGGCGAGGGCCCGCCAAGGAAGGAGCGACCGACCGAGCCAGGCGCCCUCCGCAGACCUCCGCGCAGCGGCCGCGGGCGCGAGGGGAGGGGUCUGGAGCUCCCUCCGGCUGCCUGUCCCGCACCGGAGCCCGUGGGGUGGGGAGGUGUGCAGCCUGUGACAGACAGGGGCUUAGAGAUGCAAACAGACUCAGGGAGAGAAACAGAAGCUGAUUCUGUGACAGAAGCAGAUCUGUGCAGCACAGAUGCGGUGUGCGUGGGGAGGGGGUCGCCUGGGAGCGCAUUGCGGAGUGCUUGUGUGUGCAGAUUUUUCUCUGGGCUCAGGACUCAUUGUAUGUGGGUCAACACCUUCCUCCGUGACUGUGUUUUUGUUCUGAGCUGAGUUUUUUGGUUUGCCCUUAAAAAAAUAAUAAUUUGGCAUCCAGAGACUGGCAGACUGCCUCAGGGCCUGGACUGCGGAUAUAUUGUGUUCUGCUUGAGGUUUGGGGAGGAGGGCAGGCGGUAGGAAGGGAGAGGGGGAGCUGUUUGUCACACUUUGCUGUAGAGCUGAGAGCACCUGACAAGCUUAAGGAAGUCGUUGGGCUAUGUGGACAAGAAGGAGCCAGCUCCCAGCGGGUUCACAAGCUCUAUCGGAGUUGAAAGCGUGGUCAUGGCUCUAAGGAGCACCUCACGCCCUCCCUGUAGCUGUUAUUGCAGUUUCAGGCAGAGAUCCAGGAGCUGCAGAGGAAGGGAGAGGCACAAUAACCUACAUGGACCCAAGGGAGACAUGUGUUCCUUUAAAAAUGUGAACAGAAGGAAAAACAGAAUGUGUGCAACUGGGGGUCUGAGGAAAGACUGUUUUGAAAGAGGCUGUCAGGGAAUGGAAAGGGUUAAGCUUUUCAUCCUGAAGAACCUGCUUCCCAAAUCAGGCCUUCCUCCCAUCACUAGACCCUGAGCAGCAGCUGGUCCUAGAGACCCCCCUCGUACUGCGCUGCCACAGUCUCAUCCCAUUUCCAGCUCUGUAUUAACCACCAAGCUGCAGCGGAUGGGGCAAGACCUAAGCUCAUUAAUUUCCAGGUGGAGGAAAUGGAGGAGGGGCAGGUCCCUGCAGUAGAGGGAGGAGCAGAGAAAGGAGGCCAAGAGCUGGAUCCUUCUGCCCAGGAAGCCUGCUGCAUCCCUUCCCCCGAGCAUGGCAGAGGCCUGGCUUUGCAAGGCCAAGGCCAUAAGGGAUGCUUAGGAGAUUAAUUUGAUUCCUGACACAAUAAUCAAGCCCUAAGAGUCUCCACUGAAGCUUACUGAGGACUUCUUUCCUCUCCAAAGCCUCAGUCUAGCCUGCUAAAUAAAUUAGUAUUCAGUGAUGCCUUGGAUCAGGGCCCCUCCCCGGCCUCAGUUUCCCCAAAUAUUUAUUAAGUACCUACUGUGUGCAAUCCUUGUGUAAUUAUUAACUCUUAGGCUCUUCAUUUGCCCUCCUAAAGCAGUGUUUAGAGUCAGGCAGAGGUUAAGUGUGUUGCACCUCACCUAGAUACUUCCAGAACCUUCUCUGGGUCUGCAGAAUGUGGCACAACCUGCUUGCCCCCGCAGAGAGAAAGCUGCAGUGCACAUCCUGCAGACUGCAGGUGCUGGGCUGCCUCUGGAGUCCCAGAAGGCAAGCUUGGCUGCAGGACAGAAAGGGAGAACAGCUUCUCUCACCCCUGAGCCUUCACAAGCCCUUGUCUAUUUGCCGUUGCCUUCAAAAUAUACCUCCCCCGAAACCAGUAGCUUUCUGAGUCCUGGUGUCCCCUCCGCCCUUUCUGGACAGGUUUGGGAAGAAGAAAGCAGUCAGUGCUGGGCCUUAUUGGGGUGUGAAGCGCCUUGCUCUGCCCCUUCUGCUCACUGUGAAGGCCGCUGGAUGCUUCUCUUAGGCAUGGUUUAAGCCUCCGAUUACUAAACCCCUUGCCCCACAAACGUCCACAUUGACGAGCCUCUUUUUAGUAACUGCUUCCCCGUAAUUCCUUCAGAGGUUGCUGUACCCUUCGCUGAUGUGCUGCCCUCCUGUAAAACCUCCAGAUGCCUUCCCACGUAAUGCCCCUUUCAGAUGCUUUAAGCUGAGAGCUUAAACCACAGGUACCAUGGCUGACGCCUGCCAGGUUUCUGCUGCAGAUAAUCUAUGAUGGGAGGGGCAUAUUUUUUACUUCAUUACUUAUGUAAACUCUUGUUCCAGAAAGCUUUAAUGUGUGUGGGAGUGUUCUGGGUCUAUUAGGUCUGUGCGCAUGGGUGUGGGCAUUUGCCUGUGUCCACCGGGUGGGUCUCAUUAUGAAAUGUAUGUUUAUGUAGGGCUUUAAUGGCUGAAAAUGGCAAAGAGAUGAAUAGACCACUUGGCCCCAUGUGUAAUUGCCAGGCCCCUUCUGUGCUCAAAUGAGGUGUCCGAGUGAAGGUCAGCCCUUCCCUUCUGUAUUUGGGGCCUAUUUAUGCCACCAGUAAUUUUAUAAGAAAUCUGAAUAGUUCUCCCCUUUGAGUGCAUUUAACUCUUUAGUAUCUUCUCUCUUACCUAUUUGAGCCCCUCUAGCUACAGUCUGGCUUAAAUGAAAGGGGAAUUAUAUGCUUAAGAAAAAGUAGGACACGGUUGAGGCAGUUUGCUGACUGAAUACGCGAAGAAGGACCUGAUGGGCUCAUAUGCACCACUGCCAUCACAGUCCCCAUCGUGAUGCAAGCUUAUAUGAUUCUUGAGGUAACUCUACCAGAUACUUCCAGAUUUAGAAAUGUGUCAAAGGAAAAAUUGGUGAUACUCUUCUUUCCCCUGCCAGAAACAGCCCAGAUCUCCUCUUAAGCGGAAAAGAGAUUGACCUUCUAGCAGAGGCAAAGAAUGGAGUCUUCUGGGGGCAGCUGCAAAGCGUUCUCCCUAGGACAGAUGGAGCCUCCCUUUCCUCAUCUACUCUGUGGGUGGUUUCAGGGCCCACGAGUCAACAUGAGGAGUUGUGCUGGUGGUAUGUGUGUUGGAGGCUGGGCUGGCUGAUUCACAGUGACGAGGAUGUCAAUAAUAACAAGAAUGAGAAUGAUGGUACCUAAUAAAGACUUUUUUUCCCAAGUCCCAUCUACAAUUCUUUCAUUGGGUGUUUUGCCAAGUCUUUCUCAAUCUCAUCUCAGCUUUUUUUUUUUUUUUAAAGAAAAUGUAUUCAAUACUUAAUUGCAUCACAAAUGUAGACAUAGAAGAAAGGACUUCAAACGGAAUUUAUGGGAGGCAAUGUGUGCGGCUUUUUGCCUUAUAGAGCUGUGUAGAAGGUCUGGAAUGAUCUUCCAGCACCAAAUUUAGAUGGCCUCAAAAAAAAAAAAAAAAAAAAAAAAAUCAGGCCUUAUUGAGGGCAAGGAAUGUUCCAGGUCAGAAAUAAAAGUGUCAGCAACUCUCAAUAGGUUCAUCUUUUUAUUUCCUGUCCUUCUCCCUUUUGUCUUAAAAUAGAAACGCUACCAAGACCUGAGGGCCUGGGUCAGGGGCCGGGAAGCCCAGAAAACAAACUUCCAGAAUCACUAAGGGCUUUCUCUCUCAAAAUUACAGUGGGAGGGUUCUUUUGAAAUUCAAAUCCAACCUAUUUGUUGCUUAAGCACACACAAAAUACUGAGACCUGGGGUCCAAGAGGCAAUACUUCCGCUGCAAGUGCAUGUUGCAACUUCGCGUGAUGUUCCCAGGGCGGUUCUGCGGCAACUUGCGGCUCCGCGACUGUGGGCGCGGGCCCCAUUUCGGGCCCCGUCGGCCGGGACCGCGCCCAGGGCUUCUCAAGUGACUCGCUUCCCAGCACGCAAGAGGCAUUCUCGUCUCUUUCUCUUCGAAUGCACCCGAGACUUCUCCAUGAAGCAAGGAGAAGAUGAGCAGGCGCUGGUUUCCCUUUUCUUUUUUGCUCCCAUUUCCCAGUCUUGAUUUUUUUUUUCCCUUUCUCUCUCUCUCCCGAAUCAUGCAGACCUGGAACUCCUAAGAUUCGGGUCCUCCUGCAGUUCCCAAAGCUUUGGAUCCAUCCGAGGUGUGGGUAGAUGCGGGUUAGUCUCAGGGUCUUUCUAGGAUGAGCCCCAAGCCCAAGUUCUAAGGCGAGGGGGAGGCGAAGAGGUCAGGGCUACAAACGCCAGGGACUGUCCCCGGAGAGGUCAUUUUUCCAUUUUCCAUGCACAUCGAUUUCACUCUAGCGCCAGAUGGACACUCGACGGUCAACGUUAGAGAUUUUUCCGGAGUCGGGGGCAGGAAGCGGGACGAAUUGAGACGAGGGUACAUCCUUUGCUUCCAAGGGUGGCCGAGCCAGACCGAAGGCCUGGGCGGGAGGUCACGUCCUCCCCUGGCCACCCACAGCGCUCCCCAGCCGCAGGCCUGGGCCUAGAAGCCGCGCCCUCCCGGCCGUGCAGCCGGUCAGCCUGUGCGCCCGGCGCCCGCAGUGCGGCUCCGGGCCUCUCUCUGAUCCACUUCAGUACCUGCGGCCUCGAGGACCCCACCGUGCAUCCCGGAAAGCCUCAGAACUUGCAAGAAAGAGGGGCUGGCAGGUGCAGCCUGGGAAGAGGACCCCGCCGCGAAAGCGCUUGGGGGUUGGGUUUUAUUUGCUGGAGUGGGGGGUCCGUCUCAGUGCAUCCUCCUGGAUUCCCCAUUAGGACGCCCCGCCCAUACAUCCAGCCUCCUCUCCCGGAUACCCCCAGUGACCCGGCCAGGGAGCGGGCAUCUUCCCCCAGGACCCAGAGACGUGUCCUCGCCAUCCCCAAACACCGUCCUUCCCCACCCCCGCAACCCUCUCCACAGAAGCCAAAACCACAACAAAAAUCUUCAACCCACAAAGAAAAAGACACAUUCCUCCUUCGGCCUUAGUCAGCGUUAGUUCCAGAUCCGAAGCCGGAGGGGACGGAGCCGCUCGAAGUCGGUUGGAAGGAAGGCGCAGAAGGCUCUUUCUGUCUCCAUGAAUCUCCUUGCAAAUGCAACCGCUGCUGCCAUUAGGACGCGGUCUCUGUUUGCAAAAAAAACUCAAUUCCUUCCAUUUCCUCAUCUGUUGGGUCCAUCAGCGUGCAGUGAGUGAUGCAAGGUCCCUUUGGGUCAACAGGCCGUCCCCUGAAAUAACUUUCAGAGCCCUGGCCUCAAGGUCAUGGGCCGGGUGGCCUCUACAGGCCACAGGUCAGGACCAGGAUGUGCCUGACUGAGGCUGUGCCACCGAGAGCUUCGGACGUGCAGAAAGGUGCCCUGAGCUGCACGGGGGGCUUCUGUCAGCCCCCUCCCACUCUACACAGAUUGAUGUGGCAAUAUUUAUUCCCAUUUAAUUGAGACACUGGUUUAAUUUCAGAUUGCUUCGGCUUAAGGCCCAAUGGGGUUUUCUGCAGCUCUUUUCCCCAGUGCCUCUACAGAAAUUAAUUGCUGUUAAUAUCCAAUUUUGGCUUUAUUAUUCGUUAGCCAAUUAUGUAUCCCAUAGCCCAGGCCCCUUGCUGCUCUCAGCCUUUGCUGGAAUCAGCUCACACUAUGCCGGGCUUCUGCUUUUCUGCCUUCCCCUCUAUUCAAACUCUGUCCUCCCAAGAUGAUUUACCGGCCCGUCAGGCAUUUUGCUUGUGUCCCAGCGCUAGCUGAGCUGGCGGAGGUGUCUUUAAGACGUUUUCCCCCUUUUGAGGGAAAUGUCUUCUUUGCAGUGGACAUAAUUUCCAUUUAAAAAGGAAUCUAAGCUUCUCCACUCUCGCUUCACUAUCCUAAGAUUUGCUUUCUCUGGAGCCAUUUUUGGAGAGCAGUUUUCCAUCAAAAGCAAGCAAGGUGCCCCGGCAUCAGGGCUCCCCUCCCCACCUCCCUAGGAGCCCCUCCGAGACUGUCUUAAAGCCACCACAUAUACAUAACACCAUAGAUUCAAACAGGGUGCUUGGAGGAUGUCAUUCCACAUUUCAAGGAGGGAAACUUGAAAAAGCACUAUUUUCAGAGAUGAGGAGGGCAGCUCUCCCCUCGUCCCCCACAGAGGCCCUGGAAACCAUUCCAGCCUUGCACUGCGCAACCCUGCUUGAUGGAGCUGAUGCAACUGGGGGCGAGAGCCUUUAAAAAGUGUUCUUUUGCCUUGGUUUUUUGUGCCUUGAGUUCACAGAAGCAAACACUUCCCAUCACUGGUGCUCUGGAAACAGAAACAUACAAGUGAGAAUCCUAACGACAGCAGAGGCCCUUCUUUGUCUGCUUCCUCUCCUUCCCCCCUUGGAAAGAAUGCCUCCCAUGCCUUAAUGUGCCCUCACACUUAUCUCUAGCAGUUCCGUAACAACCUGCGCAGUGUCGGCAUCAGAACCGAAUGCAGAGAAAACAAAACGUCAGAGCCGCUGGCUUGGACUGCGGCCCCUACAGAUGAAGCCCGAGGUGGGAGGUUUUCUUCUCCGCCUGGAAAUCCUAUGCCUUCUACUCCUACCUCAGCAUCUUGCCGCCUUCAUGUGGACAAUUAAUCAACAGCAACAGCAUAGUGUGAAGAGAUAGAGUCUUGAUAUGUUCCCCAGGCUGCUCUGGAAUUCUUGGACUCAAGCAAUCCUCCUGACUUGGCCUCCCAAAGUGCUGGGAUUACAGGCUCCUAUUCCAAAUCGGAUGAAGCACUGAAAACAAAGCACUUUCACAUCCUUCACCCUGAUCUGUAGCAUAUUCUUCAGAACUCUUAUGAUUUCAAGUGACAGAAACCCAAUCUGAACCAGCUGAAACACUCAGAGGCAUUUAGUAUCUCAUGGAACCCAGUGCCCCAGGGACAGGCGGAAACGCUGACUUGAACAUCUCUUUCUGAGUUUCUCAUCUCAGCGCCUCUCUGCAGAUGUUGAAAUCUUCUUUUUUUCUGCUAACUGGCCUCUGCUUCCCAGGUUCACAGCAAGAAACAUGGCCAUUGGGAUGUCCCAAGCUUUGCAUUUUAUAGCCCAGCUUAGGUCAGGUGGCCACCCCUGUGCCAGUCAACUUGACCGAAUGGAUGGAAAACCUCAACUGAUCAAGCUGGAGUUAAGUGCAUGCAGGGAGCACCUAUGGUAACUGCGGAUGGCAGGGAGGGCAGCCACCUAGAAAAAGGUACUGCUGGCCAGGUAAGACCACAGGUAUCCACAACUACCACCAAUCUGCUGUGAACAGUUCCUCUGAAGUUGUGCAAUAAGCAAGCCGUGUGAUGCUGGUCUUGGUAGAAUAUCUUAUUUCUAAACUCCAAACCAUCAGAUUGGCCUCUACCUCCCCAUUUGCCCUCCUCAGAAGAUCUUGACACCCAAGUUCACCCCAUCCUCUGGAGUCCUGUGGUUUGAAAUACUGACCAUUUGUCCCAAUCCUGGAGCCAAGGUCCCAGCAUGCUCUGUGUCCAAGUUCAGAUUACCACAAAAGCUGGUUGUGAAGACCACAAGUUGUUACCUAUUUGUUUUUUAACCAGUUGUAUAUACAACAUUUGGUGCUUUUCACAACACCACACUACCUCUGUCUUACUGUACUGUUUCUCUCCCUAGCAAGCUACCAACAUUUCCUCUCUCCUCCCUAAAACAUGAAAAAAGGAGAGAGAGAGAGAGAGAGAGACGCAGGUAAUGCCUAUACUCUCAUCUCCUAAGGGGUCCUUGAGACAAUGGAUUCCAAAGAGCAGUUUGGAACAUGAAGAAAACCCCAAUGGGGAGGCCCUGCUCCCAAGUCUCACUAAUUCUGGAUUUAAUUCUCCCCUGUGGGCCAGGUGGUGAAUUAGUGGCCCUCCCACCCUACCUUCUGUUUUCUAUGAUCUCGUCUCAUCUAAUAAAGGCUCCAGAUCUGAAAGUCUCUGAGACCAGAACCUUAGUCCAAUUAAACCCUGCUAAAGCAAACAAACUUGGGAAAGACAAAGAGGUGAAGAGGUUAACAGCAGACAAAACCUCCACUGACAAGCUAAAUUAGCCUUGCCCACCUCAGGAGAAGGUGUAAGGUGGACAGCGGAGACUGCUGGUAGUGAUUAACAUUUGCUCGAAAUUCUAAGGAGCUAAUUUUUUUUCCAAGUUAAAUGUUAACCUGUGAAAAGAGGAACAGUAACUAUGCGAAGAGGAAUGUGAAGAAGAAAACAGAAAGACCAGCCUGCUGGGUGGAUGUCUUCCUCCCAAAGUAGUCGAGACCAGGGAUUCUGAGGAAUAGUUUUCCAUUUAUCCUUCAUCAUCUCCAUUCAACAGGGCCGCUGAGCUCCAGAUGAGCAUGGAAAGAUGGAGGAGCUGCCAAACCUGACUUUGGAGGCCCUGGUCAGGAGCCCGUUGGAGGCCUUCCAGUUUUACACCCUUUGUGAAUUUGUCCGUGGGGUGGGUUUGUUCUGAUGCCAUGAGUAGCUUCCACUGGAAAAGGCACCAUCUCCACCCAACAUUUUAGGUAUGCUGGUGCAUUGGGAGGACAUUCUUGGUGCCAAUAAUCGUCUGAAGAUUCUUUGCUAUCCUUUGGUAGAGGCUCUAUUUACCACAAUGAAGAGUAGAAAGAUUAUGAUGUGAGUGUGUUUUGGUGUGUGUGUGUGUGUGUGUGUAUGUGUGUGACUAUUAGUGAAAACUGCUAGUAGUAUGUCAGUGUGGAGAGAAAUUCAGUCCUCCCGCAAGUGGUGAGGCUCAAUAUUAAGGGACAGAACAUCAGUGAGCACCACAUUAAGGCACUAUUCUCGACAUCUGGGAAGAAGCAAAGAAAAAUGUGUCAUGCCUCUUACCUUUUAGGGACUUAUAAUACAGGAAAGAGAAGACUUGUAUAAAUGGCUAAAAAUAUACUGAGGAGUAUAACUAAUAACUAAUGCAGAGUGUGCUGGUAAAAGGUUGUGUGGGUUCAGGAAUGUCAAAAGUUGCAGCUGCUGUGAAAGCCAAUAUGGCGGGUCCUCAAAAAAUUAAAUGUAGAAUUACCAUAUGACUCGGCAACUCCACUUCCGGGUAUGUUCUUAAAACGAUUGAAAGCAGAGACUCAGACAGAUAAUUGCACACCCAUGUUCACAGCAGCAUUAUUCACAAUCGCCAAAAUGUGGAAGCAACCCAAGUGUCCACUGGCCAAUGAAUGAAUGAGUAAAACAUGCUAUGUAUCAACAGUAGAAUAUUAUUCAACCUUAAAAGGAAACAAAUUCUGGUACGUGUUACAACAUAGAUGAACCUUGAGUGGAAGAAGAAAACAGAAAGAGCAGUCCGCUGGGUGGAUGUCUUCUUCCCAAAGUAGUUGGGAUCAGGAAUGCUGAGAAACAAUUCCCCAUUCAUCCUUCAACAUCUCCAUUCAACAGGGCCACUGAGCUCCAGGAUGAGCAUGGAAGGAUGGAGGAGCUGCCAAGCUUGACCUUGGGGACCCAGGUCAGGAGCCUUCUGGAGACCUUCCAGUUUUAUGCCCUUCGUGAAUUUGUUUGUGGGAUGAACUCUAUGAAGUGAACUAAACCAAUCACACACAAAAAAUAAAACUGUAUGAUUCCACUUAUAUGAGGCACCUAGUCAAAUUCAGAGACAGAAAUAAAAAUGGGGGUUGAUAGGAGAGGGGAGGAUGGAAGAGUGGGAAGUUACUGUCAAUGGGAACAGAGUUUCAGUUUUGCAAAAGAGUUCUGGAAAUGAAUGGGGUAAUGACU